Phytophthora infestans T30-4 is the source of this 74-nucleotide non-coding RNA. NCBI's taxonomy places the organism in Eukaryota, Oomycota, Peronosporomycetes, Peronosporales, Peronosporaceae. The record is from the annotation of a RefSeq genome assembly.
GUCUGUUUAGAGUGUCCUGGUAGUAUAGUCGCUUCGGGUGCGAGAGGUCCCGGGUUCGAUUCCCGGUGAGGCCC